This 253-nucleotide ribosomal RNA is filed under the name uncultured bacterium. RNAcentral describes it as "partial 16S ribosomal RNA". It matches the Rfam family "Bacterial small subunit ribosomal RNA", at positions 524 to 776 of the family's 1533-position model. The record is from RNAcentral.
UACGAAGGGGGUUAGCGUUGCUCGGAAUCACUGGGCGUAAAGCGCACGUAGGCGGGUUGCUAAGUCAGGGGUGAAAUCCUGGAGCUCAACUCCAGAACUGCCUUUGAUACUGGCGACCUUGAGUCCGGGAGAGGUGAGUGGAACUGCGAGUGUAGAGGUGAAAUUCGUAGAUAUUCGCAAGAACACCAGUGGCGAAGGCGGCUCACUGGCCCGGUACUGACGCUGAGGUGCGAAAGCGUGGGGAGCAAACAGG